Molecule: ribosomal RNA, 497 nt
Filed under: uncultured bacterium
Lineage: Bacteria
Description: partial 16S ribosomal RNA
Rfam family: Bacterial small subunit ribosomal RNA
Source: RNAcentral
GAUGAACGCUGGCGGCGUGCCUAAUACAUGCAAGUCGAGCGAACAGACGAGGAGCUUGCUCCUCUGACGUUAGCGGCGGACGGGUGAGUAACACGUGGAUAACCUACCUAUAAGACUGGGAUAACUUCGGGAAACCGGAGCUAAUACCGUAUAAUAUAUUGAACCGCAUGGUUCAAUAGUGAAAGACGGUUUUGCUGUCACUUAUAGAUGGAUCCGCGCUGCAUUAGCUAGUUGGUAAGGUAACGGCUUACCAAGGCAACGAUGCAUAGCCGACCUGAGAGGGUGAUCGGCCACACUGGAACUGAGACACGGUCCAGACCCCUACGGGAGGCAGCAGUAGGGAAUCUUCCGCAAUGGGCGAAAGCCUGACGGAGCAACGCCGCGUGAGUGAUGAAGGUCUUCGGAUCGUAAAACUCUGUUAUUAGGGAAGAACAAAUGUGUAAGUAACUAUGCACGUCUUGACGGUACCUAAUCAGAAAGCCACGGCUAACUACGUG